ACGAACGCUGGCGGCGUGCCUAAUACAUGCAAGUCGAACGAGCUCUCCUAAAUUGAUUUUAUGCUUGCAUAAAUGAUUUUUAGAUUCGGAGCGAGUGGCGAACUGGUGAGUAACACGUGGGUAACCUGCCCCGAAGCGGGGGAUAACAUUUGGAAACAAAUGCUAAUACCGCAUAAUUAGUUGGAACCGCAUGGUUCCAACUUGAAAGAUGGCUCUGCUAUCACUUUGGGAUGGACCCGCGCCGUAUUAGUUAGUUGGUGAGAUAAAAGCCCACCAAGACGAUGAUACGUAGCCGACCUGAGAGGGUAAUCGGCCACAUUGGGACUGAGACACGGCCCAGACUCCUACGGGAGGCAGCAGUAGGGAAUCUUCCACAAUGGACGAAAGUCUGAUGGAGCAACGCCGCGUGAGUGAUGAAGGUUUUCGGAUCGUAAAACUCUGUUGUUAAAGAAGAACAAGUGUUAGAGUAACUGUUAACACUUUGACGGUAUUUAACCAGAAAGCCACGGCUAACUACGUGCCAGCAGCCGCGGUAAUACGUAGGUGGCAAGCGUUGUCCGGAUUUAUUGGGCGUAAAGCGAGCGCAGGCGGUUUUGUAAGUCUGCUGUGAAAGCCCUCAGCUCAACUGAGAAGUGCAGUGGAAACUACAAAACUUGAGUACAGAAGAGGAAAGUGGAACUCCAUGUGUAGCGGUGAAAUGCGUAGAUAUAUGGAAGAACACCAGUGGCGAAGGCGGCUUUCUGGUCUGUUACUGACGCUGAGGCUCGAAAGCAUGGGUAGCGAACAGGAUUAGAUACCCUGGUAGUCCAUGCCGUAAACGAUGAAUACUAGGUGUUGGAGGGUUUCCGCCCUUCAGUGCCGCAGCUAACGCAUUAAGUAUUCCGCCUGGGGAGUACGACCGCAAGGUUGAAACUCAAAGGAAUUGACGGGGGCCCGCACAAGUGGUGGAGCAUGUGGUUUAAUUCGAUGCUACGCGAAGAACCUUACCAGCUCUUGACAUCUUCUGCCAACCCAAGAGAUUGGGCGUUCCCUUCGGGGACAGAAUGACAGGUGGUGCAUGGUUGUCGUCAGCUCGUGUCGUGAGAUGUUGGGUUAAGUCCCGCAACGAGCGCAACCCUUAUUAUUAGUUGCCAGCAUUUAGUUGGGCACUCUAGUGAGACUGCCGGUGAUAAACCGGAGGAAGGUGGGGACGACGUCAAAUCAUCAUGCCCCUUAUGAGCUGGGCUACACACGUGCUACAAUGGAUGGUACAACGAGUCGCGAAACCGCGAGGUCAAGCUAAUCUCUUAAAGCCAUUCUCAGUUCGGAUUGCAGGCUGCAACUCGCCUGCAUGAAGUUGGAAUCACUAGUAAUCGUGGAUCAGCAUGCCACGGUGAAUACGUUCCCGGGCCUUGUACACACCG
RNAcentral lists this ribosomal RNA (1403 nucleotides) under uncultured Bacilli bacterium. Its description in RNAcentral is "bacterial SSU rRNA". It matches the Rfam family "Bacterial small subunit ribosomal RNA", at positions 29 to 1392 of the family's 1533-position model. The record is from RNAcentral. Lineage: Bacteria; Bacillati; Bacillota; Bacilli.